This 451-nucleotide ribosomal RNA is filed under the name uncultured Phyllobacteriaceae bacterium. RNAcentral describes it as "bacterial SSU rRNA". It matches the Rfam family "Bacterial small subunit ribosomal RNA", at positions 8 to 507 of the family's 1533-position model. The record is from RNAcentral. Lineage: Bacteria; Pseudomonadati; Pseudomonadota; Alphaproteobacteria; Hyphomicrobiales; Phyllobacteriaceae.
AGAGUUUGAUCCUGGCUCAGAACGAACGCUGGCGGCAGGCUUAACACAUGCAAGUCGAGCGCCCCGCAAGGGGAGCGGCAGACGGGUGAGUAACGCGUGGGAAUCUACCCAUCACUACGGAACAACUCCGGGAAACUGGAGCUAAUACCGUAUACGUCCUUCGGGAGAAAGAUUUAUCGGUGAUGGAUGAGCCCGCGUUGGAUUAGCUAGUUGGUGGGGUAAUGGCCUACCAAGGCGACGAUCCAUAGCUGGUCUGAGAGGAUGAUCAGCCACACUGGGACUGAGACACGGCCCAGACUCCUACGGGAGGCAGCAGUGGGGAAUAUUGGACAAUGGGCGAAAGCCUGAUCCAGCCAUGCCGCGCGAGUGAUGAAGGCCCUAGGGUUGUAAAGCUCUUUCACCGGUGAAGAUAAUGACGGUAACCGGAGAAGAAGCCCCGGCUAACUUCGUA